RNAcentral lists this ribosomal RNA (800 nucleotides) under uncultured bacterium. RNAcentral describes it as "bacterial SSU rRNA". It matches the Rfam family "Bacterial small subunit ribosomal RNA", at positions 8 to 816 of the family's 1533-position model. The record is from RNAcentral.
AGAGUUUGAUCCUGGCUCAGGAUAAACGCUGGCGGCGCACAUAAGACAUGCAAGUCGAACGAACUUAACUCAUUCUUUUAGUUUGAGAGCGGUUAGUGGCGGACUGGUGAGUAACACGUAAGCAACCUGCCUAUUAGAGGGGAAUAACAGUGAGAAAUCAUUGCUAAUACCGCAUAUGCUAACAGUAUCGCAUGAUACAGUUAGGAAAGGAGUAAUCCGCUAAUAGAUGGGCUUGCGCCUGAUUAGCUAGUUGGUGGGGCAAUGGCCUACCAAGGCGACGAUCAGUAGCCGGACUGAGAGGUUGAACGGCCACAUUGGGACUGAGAUACGGCCCAGACUCCUACGGGAGGCAGCAGUCGGGAAUAUUGCGCAAUGGAGGAAACUCUGACGCAGUGACGCCGCGUAUAGGAAGAAGGUUUUCGGAUUGUAAACUAUUGUCGUUAGGGAAGAUACAAGACAGUACCUAAGGAGGAAGCCCCGGCUAACUAUGUGCCAGCAGCCGCGGUAAUACAUAGGGGGCAAGCGUUAUCCGGAAUUAUUGGGUGUAAAGGGUGCGUAGACGGAGGAGCAAGUUGGUUGUGAAAUCCCUCGGCUUAACUGAGGAACUGCAACCAAAACUACUUCCCUUGAGUGUCGGAGAGGAAAGUGGAAUUCCUAGUGUAGCGGUGAAAUGCGUAGAUAUUAGGAGGAACACCAGUGGCGAAGGCGACUUUCUGGACGAUAACUGACGUUGAGGCACGAAAGUGUGGGGAGCAAACAGGAUUAGAUACCCUGGUAGUCCACACCGUAACGAUGGAUAC